This 400-nucleotide long non-coding RNA is filed under the name Rattus norvegicus (Norway rat). Its description in RNAcentral is "long non-coding RNA NONRATT019815". The record is from RNAcentral. Lineage: Eukaryota; Metazoa; Chordata; Mammalia; Rodentia; Muridae.
AGUUCAGCACGGCUGGGCUCAGCUACGCUUGGUGUCAACCUAAAGGCUGCUCCAGCUUGAACAAACUAAUGGAGCCUAAGGAGGGAACCGUGGGGAGCCUGCUGAUGGGCAGUUGGUCAGCGCCUACAUAAAACAGCCUGCAGCUUUCACUGUCGUCAAAUGUGGGAGAACUGAGCCCCCAACCGGGGGGUCCGACUGCACCUCCAAGUAGCUAGAGUUGGAAUUGAGCUGGAUGAAAGGAUACCUUACCCAGUGGGUGGUGCGGCUGUGAGCUGGCAGUUACGGAGUGAUCUCUGUACCUUUUAGGGUCAUAGAAAUGUUGGCUAUCCUGUGAAAGCUGGCACAACAGUUGCCUUGUUUCUCUCCUGAGAAUGUAGAUUAAAACCCUAUUUUUCACUGU